CCUACGGGAGGCUGCAGUGGGGAAUAUUGGACAAUGGGGGCAACCCUGAUCCAGCCAUGCCGCGUGUGUGAAGAAGGCCCUCGGGUUGUAAAGCACUUUCAGUGAGGAAGAACGCCUGGUGGUUAAUACCCAGCAGGAAAGACAUCACUCACAGAAGAAGCACCGGCUAACUCCGUGCCAGCAGCCGCGGUAAUACGGAGGGUGCGAGCGUUAAUCGGAAUUACUGGGCGUAAAGCGCGCGUAGGUGGCUUGAUAAGCCGGUUGUGAAAGCCCCGGGCUCAACCUGGGAACGGCAUCCGGAACUGUCAAGCUAGAGUCCAGGAGAGGAAGGUAGAAUUCCCGGUGUAGCGGUGAAAUGCGUAGAGAUCGGGAGGAAUACCAGUGGCGAAGGCGGCCUUCUGGACUGACACUGACACUGAGGUGCGAAAGCGUGGGUAGCAAACAGGAUUAGAUACCCCGGUAGUC
This 465-nucleotide ribosomal RNA is filed under the name Vreelandella stevensii. RNAcentral's name for it is "partial 16S ribosomal RNA". It matches the Rfam family "Bacterial small subunit ribosomal RNA", at positions 338 to 795 of the family's 1533-position model. The record is from RNAcentral. Lineage: Bacteria; Pseudomonadati; Pseudomonadota; Gammaproteobacteria; Oceanospirillales; Halomonadaceae.